Molecule: long non-coding RNA, 474 nt
Organism: Austrofundulus limnaeus
Lineage: Eukaryota; Metazoa; Chordata; Actinopteri; Cyprinodontiformes; Rivulidae
Exons: 3
Source: RefSeq, a predicted model, not a curated record
UAAAUAGAUCAAUUGGCCCCGGCCAAGACAGCCUGUCCCUUUCUCAGAGGCGGCGUUGGAGGUCAAGGUCUCCCUCUCAUGAACAUAGUGACGUCCGAAGAACAACCAUCAACCGAAGUCUCAGGCAGACUCCACAGAAGUCUGUCAGAGCUCAAAGGGAUCCCGCAAAUGCAGCCGAGGCAAUGUCAGUGUGUACACCAAAACUGACAAAGGAUGCCUUUCCAAUGUCUGAAAAAAAAUUCCAGAAGAGAGUACUUCAGCUCCUGGUUGAAAUCAAGGAUGCAAUUCAUGUUGAUUCUUCAUCUGAUGGGACAAGUUAUGAAGUGAAGCCGGCAAAAACAGAACAAGAGUUUGAAGCUUUAGAGAAUUGCCUGGAGGACAAGAAUGAGGGAGCAGAACUGGUAAGUUUUCCUUAAGUGGUUGUGGGUCAAAUUUGACUAUAAACUUCUGCUUCAAUCUAGCCUGGCACUUGCC